UACGUAGGGGGCUAGCGUUGUCCGGAAUCAUUGGGCGUAAAGCGCGUGUAGGCGGUCCGGUAAGUCCGCUGUGAAAGUCGGGGGCUCAACCCUCGGAUGCCGGUGGAUACUGUCGGGCUUGAGUACGGAAGAGGCGAGUGGAAUUCCUGGUGUAGCGGUGAAAUGCGCAGAUAUCAGGAGGAACACCAAUUGCGAAGGCAGCUCGCUGGGACGUUACUGACGCUGUAGCGCGAAAGCGUGGGGAGCAAACAGG
Molecule: ribosomal RNA, 253 nt
Filed under: uncultured bacterium
Lineage: Bacteria
Description: partial 16S ribosomal RNA
Rfam family: Bacterial small subunit ribosomal RNA
Source: RNAcentral